Molecule: non-coding RNA, 10526 nt
Organism: Taeniopygia guttata (zebra finch)
Lineage: Eukaryota; Metazoa; Chordata; Aves; Passeriformes; Estrildidae
Source: RefSeq, a predicted model, not a curated record
UGUUACCAGAAGACUGUGAGUAGUAGGUUGGUUUACCACUUCCCAUUUGGAAAAGAAACUUGUCCAAACUUACAUAAUUCUGCAGUGUGACAGUAAAGGGUUAGUUGGGAAGGGUGAAGGCAGUGGAGAGGCAAAAUGGAAGGAAGUGAGGUAGAGACAAAGGGGGGAAGAGUGGCAAGGAGUAGGACAGCAUGGAGGAAGAGCAGGCUGAGCCACAGGGCAGCGGGUGCACAUGCAAGGAGGGUGGGACUGGGGAGGAUGUGGGACAGGAAGACAGCCCUGCAAAAAGUUGGAAAAAACACUUUUAAACCAAGUGACUCAGCUAUAAGAGAGACUUGGAGUUGACCAAAAGAACUGAAUUUAAAAUUACCACAAGGUCCCCAAUGCAUUGAUAGCCUUGGGCCAUAAAUAAGGGAAACUUGAUUUCCUGAGCAGCUGAAAACCUGCAGGUCCUUGACUGAGCAGGGUUUGCAGGCUUCCAGUCAUGUAACAAAUCAACAAACUCUCAGUUCCCAUAUGACCCAACUUCCCAUUCAUGUUACCUUCACUCCCACACUGGUAGCCACAAACAUUGAUGUUUGAAUUGUCAUCAUCUGCAGCUGUUAGAGACAUGGUUAGAUACAGUUUUUAACAUAAAGGAAUGCUUACGGUGACCACAGUUUCCCCUUGUGUGCUGUUUACGUGUCCAUUUCGCUGGCAUUGCUGCUUCAAACCCCUCUCUGCUUCUUCCCUUUCUUUACUUAUCCUUUCUCAGGCUGUACUGUUCUUUUGAGCCAUGGCCUAUGUCCAUCCCAUGGGUCCGUCCUUUCCAUGUUUAGCUGGAAUCCUGGGGUAAAGUGUGUCCGUGCAAGAAGAGGAAUCAAUCGGUUUCUUAGGUACGGUUGUCUGCUUGCACCUCCAAAUUUGGGAGUAGUGCUCUGACUCUGAGGGGAGAGGUCUGGUAUUCCUGCAUUCAGAUAAGGCCUGGUGCGUAUGUCCUAUGGCAGCCAUGGUGCCAUGUGUCAGGAUGGGUGGGUGGGCAGGCAGAUCUCAUGUUGCUUUUGCAGGUGAGCAAAACUCGGUUAUUCUGAGGUUUGCAAUCAUCACGAGCCAAGGAAAAUUGCCUACAAACAUGAAAGAAGUUUCUUCUCCAGUUCUGAGGAAGGUUGUCUUUGAGAAGUAUGAUUUCCCACAAAUUCUACCUCUUUUUACCUCACCCAUCACCCCUUUGAAAGGCCUAUUUGCAGAAUGUAGCAGAAGAGACUUGCUGAUGACUUCUGGAGCCAGUCGGUGCCUCCCUGAACACUGGCCAAAAGUGAUGCGAUGGUUCCUUUCUCAGCUCCUCCCACAGGCCAGGCAGGCUGGCUCUAGUGUCCCUUCAGCCACCCGGGGGGGCUGAACUCCGAGCCUCCACUGUUGGAUUUUGAAGACUGGUGACAUGUGGGUUCAUCCUCUCUUGUUUUCUUGUCAUGCAGAUGUUCAUUCCUCCUAAAGAAAGACUCUGUUGUGUGUGCUCUACUCCUGCACUGCCACAAAAGGUCAGACUUCUUGAGCCCAUUAUAAACUGUUUCUUGGCUACAAAAGCAGUGCAGAUUUUGGGGUACAUCUACCUUUGGGCACUUCUCACAUAGCUCUGAGCUUUCCUGCAGGUUUGCAAGUCCUUUUUAAUCCAGAAGGGUCCUACUAGUUCCAUUAAAUUCUUACUAAAGGUCAUCUCCUCUGAUGACCCCAGCAAGAGAAGCUGAACAUACUGAUCUGGAAAUUGCCCAGGUUUUUGUUAAAAUGAGCCUUUUCAUGCUCAGGGACAGACCCCAGGGUGGCAAAAGAUGUGCUUGAAUAGUCAGUUCUGGGAGUUUGAAUGUCAUUGGGAACAUUUAAGUCUUAGGAGUCUCCUUUUAGGAGGGAGUGGGGGCAAGGGCAGUCGGUAGGUGUGUUUUACUUUGCACCUUAUGCCUGGAAGUAAAGGUGACAGGCAGCAGAUGCUGGGGCUGUGGGGGAAGACGAGUAAGACGAAGCUGUAAAUCAGUAAAUCAGCCAGGAGCCUGCAAUAAGACAUGACUAUUUACCUUCCAGCCCUGCUCCCACCAAUGCGAGCCUGAGCUCCUUCUACUCCUGAGAGCCAGCCAAGGUCAGAAGCUGCAGGACCAAAAUGCCACCAUCACUCGCAUGUGCAUGUCUGUGACCUGCCACAGGCCUGCAUUUACAUGUGUCCAGUGAGCAGGGGAUGAUGUUAGAAACAUGAAUGUAGAACCUCCUGCUCACCUUCAUAAAGUCCUGAUGCCUGUUUUUUUAUAUUUAUUAUUUUAUUUAUGGUUUCUGUAUCUUUGGUGGAGGGCAAGAAGAGGAGGGCAGGGCACGGGCAGGAUGUGUUCUAACACCUGUUUCCUUUGCCCCCUUCCCAAGCCUUUUUUUCCAGCUUCUUCAGCAUAGCUUCUGCCUUGAUGGCUCCUGGUUGAUGGGCUGUUGGAGAAAUGUUGCUUUGCAGGAGCAAAAAAGCCCAAUCUUAAGAGGAUCUAUGCUCAUUUCAACUUAUCAGGAAAAGCAGGGCAGCUAUAAACCUUCAAUUUAUUUGAGAUCCAUCCUAUAACUCCCUGGGCCUGCCUUCUUACUAGAAGGAUGAGAAUUUGUCAGUUACUGGAGAAUAUAUAAUUUUUCUGCCACCUAGUGUCCAGCCUUUGGAGUGCUCAAGCUUUUGGCUGUGAGUUACAAGUUAGUUAUUGUUUUCUCUUUGAGUGCUUUUAAACACAAUUAGUGGUGUGGUCAUUUUUAGACUGAGGUAAGUCUCUGGUAGUAGUAUCUUUUACUCUCUGCAUACUCUACUAUUUGGAAAUCUGGGGAAUACCAGAAAAUAGCAUAUUUUUAUUUUAUAUCUCAUCAUAUGUGCAUAUGGUGUUUUGAAGACAGAUAAAUAAAAAAGCCAUGAGAAACUUUGACCAGGUGUGUUCUUGCAGAUUUGUGAAUUAUUUGAACUAUUGUUUUUAUUUGGACUAGUACAUUGAAGUAGUCUAAAAGGGUUUAGAGUUUGGUCCUAAAUUCCUUAAUUUAUGUUCUAACCAUGCUACCUGUGCAAGAAAAUGCAAGCCUUUUUAAACUGUUGAACUCCUGGUACAAAAUCAAAUGCUCCUGCAUGUGUGAGUGUGCCUGUGUGCUUUCCUGCCCUGACUGUUGUUGUCACAGAAACCUCUCAGGUAGAAACACGGAAGGCUCCAAACCCACCGCGUGUCUGCAGGAUAAAAGAAGUGGCUGUGCUGCGCUCUCUGAACAGAAGGGGGCUGGCCUUGGUGCUUAGGCCCUGGGACAUUGCCCAGUUAGUGCCAAAGGUGAUUUGGUCCCUCUUGUUGUCCUGGACCUUCGUCUCUCCCUUGCGCUGUGCUGCUCAGGGGAGAUGUGGCAUGCACCACAGCAGAGGGAUGAUGAAUCAUCAGGCUUUUAAAGGGGAUAAUACAGCCAUAGUCAUCACUUGGAUUGGCCCAGUGGAAAGGCAUUAAUGACAAUCACUUACAAUAUUGCAUCAAUAGACUUAGAAAUGGUGGCACUGUCACCCUGGAGAUUCUUCUUCUAAAGGUCAUUCAAGGGUAAUUUUAGAUCCUUCUCCUACAGGCUACCUUUCACAGGAUACCCACUCUGGGACUGAAAGCCAGAGAACAGCACAGAUCUGUUCUUACACCCACAGUUCCUGCCUGUCCUGUACCCAGCUCCAGGAGGGAGGGCUGGCACACUGGAAAAGAUCAGGUUGGGACUAAAAUUAGAAAAGAACACGACUCCAGACAAAUGAGUCACUAAGCCUUGAUGAGCUCUGAUCUGCAAGGAAGUACUGUAUAGAGGUCUGAGAUACUGAAUAAGCCUUAGCUCAGAAAACAACAGUCCAACAGGUAGGCUGUGAUCCUUUCCUGUCUCAGGCAGGUAUGUGGAAGCAGAAAGCUGAUGGCAAGACUUAGAGGAGACUUUGUGUCUCAAAGGACAGAGAGAGCAGCAGAAAGGAAAAGCUCAGUGUUACCAACUGGAGAGCAACUGGAGACCACAAAUCUGAAUUAUCCUGAGAAAUAGGUACAUGGAAACCCAGCGUGCACUAAGAUAUUUUUGGCAGAUGUUUCUAUACCACUAGUGCCCAUUGGAUCCUGGACUAUUUUCUGCAUUCCUGGAUUCUGACAAUUGGGUCCCAGUAACUUCGAGCACAGUAGAGGUGAAGCUGUGGGAGAGGCACGUGGCACAAAUCGGGCAAAUCAGGGGCGAGAGCACUUAUGGAGGAGCUGAGUUACCCAGAAAGGGUAACAGAUUGUUUUUCCAAGACAAGCCAAAGAGAUCGAGGGGAUCAGCACUGUAAAAGUGAGUGGGUUGUGUGUGUCUCAGCUGCAGCAUCUGGCUGGGCAGUGGUGGUCAGGAAGGGGCAGGGAAGGGCCAAAGCACAGCCACAAGGCAGGCCCAAGCCAUAACUUGUGGUGUGCUUGUGCAUGUGGUAAUGAGCUUAAGAAGCCAUCUUCAUCCUCAGUGACCACCUCACCAGAGCAACCUGCCAGUGGAUGAAUGUCCUUUGUAUGUGGCUCUAAGCCCCACUGAGCAAGGCUCAGGGGAUGGUCACUGAGACAUCUUAUUCAAGGUUGGAGGCUUGAGAGUUGAGAUAUUUGUCAAAUAAAAAUUACAGAUCAUCUUCCUGCCUUGAACACCUGAAAUGCAGGUGAACAAAUCUUAAUCAAACUGACCAAAACAUUUGCACAGAGUUGAUGGGGCAGCUAGACUGAGAACAAGGCCAUUUAUCCCUUCCUCCCAUUUGCCAUCUGGUGGUGUCUGAGAGCUCCAGAAGACAGCUCCAAAGCUGUUCCAGGCUCACAGUAAAAAAAGCUGCCCAUGAGGGAUGGAUGCCCAGCCCUGGAAUGCAGCCCUCCCUGGGCUAUGAGUCGUAAAAUAAACUCUCAGAUCACAACGGCUGGCUUUGCUACAAAAGACUACAAAGCUCACAAUGAGUAAAAGAAUAUCCUACAAAAUCCUUCUUCAGACUUCCCUGAGCCUCUUCCAUGAAACAAUUAGUGGAUGCUCUUGUUUUGAACUCUGUGACUCACUCCUGUAAUUCAGUUGUGGCCUGUGAUCGCUCAGUCACUUAAUUCGUGGUGGGGAAACAGGCAGUUGUGAGAAUUUCCUCUGUGCCCCCCUGGGCCUCUCGCUGCAGCUCUGGGCACAUUGGAGCCUGGAUGCUCGCUUCCCAGAUGUGCAGGCCCCCUCAGGAAUGCUUCCUCACAGCACCAACUGGUGAACAGGAAGGUUUCUCAAGGAGAAAACACAUCUCACUGUGUUUUGUGGUACUUAAUCCAGCUUCAAGGGUGGUCCUGUUAUCAAUAGUCUAAAUAGUGAAGUUGUGGCUUGGCUCUACCAGAGUUUUAUUUGUAGUUUGGUGUCUUCACAGCAGGUACACAUGUGUGCACAAUUGUAAAAACUCCAUUAAAGGUAAUGGACUCUAUCAAAGCAAUUACACUGGCUAAUGUCUCCCACAUUCUUUUCUAUUAACCAUACUUAACUUUGCCAUACAGCAGUACAUUUACUAUUAUGAACCAGUAAGUGAUUUUUAAUCACUGGAUUUGUAUUACAUGCAGAUUUGUGUAACUUUCCAAGUACAUUGAAAGCAUGAAAGACAUUUAACAAUUAAACCGAAAGUGUUUCCAGAGAUUUCCAGUAAACACUGAAUAUAUUUGAAGGCUUCUCUCUGCUUAUGUUACCUUGGUCGUGCUGAGAUAAUUUGGGCAGCAGAGCAAGGAAAAAGCACUGAAUAAUUUGCCACCUAUUUCACAUCCAAAAGAGAAUUGAAAACAGAAAGCUGAAAAAUUCUUCCUGCUGGUACCACAUGGCAGAAACCCUGCCCCGUGUCUGCUGAACAGUGCUGUAUGUUUGUCAGGAGGAAAAGACAAUUGCAUUCUCUGGCUGCAUUCUCUGGCUACUGACUACCAAGUGCUAAAUUUCUGCUGUUACCAGGAAUGGCAGAAGGGGCCAUCACAGAGUGACCCUGGCAGAGCAAACUGCAGUGUCCUUCAUGCAGGACUCCCUCCAGGCCCUGGAGGUGGCUGAGCCAGUCACUCUGGUGACCUCAGGCAAUUGCUGUUCCUCUGCCAAGGCACAGGGAUGAGCUUCUCCAUGGGAUACUCAGGCUUGUCACUCAUGUGCUUUUGGCUUUCCUCUGCUUGACCUCUCAGACACUUUUAGCCCCAUAGUCUCUUUGUUAUUUCCCUUUGGCAGCUGCUUUCCAUCUUACAGCUCAUGUUCAUUGCUUUCUAUUUCUUCCCCUUUUUCUCUUUUGCCUUCCCUAUUCCUCCUUAGUUUCCUUUUUGCUUUCUGCCAAACCAAAUGCACCACUCUCUCCUUUUCUGGUUAUCUUUCCCAAGGGCUGAAUCACAGCAGUUCUGUUUGAGUGGCCAUUUCUAUAGCCCAGAGUUAUCUCCUAGAGUGUGGGGUGCUAAGCUGAGGAAGGUGACCUUCCUUGGUUCCCUCUGCAGUCAGCUGGAAGACAUGGGAGCCUCCAGAAGGUGACUCAGGUUUUGAGGCUGUCUUAAGACCUUGUGAAGACUGAUGUCAUCCCAUGAGUUGCCAGUAAGACUGACAAACAUCCUAACUUACAAGCUUUGAAUUGGGGACCCAGUUUUAUUUAGUACAAAUCCAGCUUUUGCAGAGUUUAGCACAUGUCAGAUGGAUGAGAAGCAUAAAUCAGGGGAUCUUCCCUCCAACCAACAUUGUCCUCCCAGGUGCCAGAUUCCUGCCCACAGCCUGGCAGUUAGGAGAAGUGGCAUCUGCAGCACAGCAGCUGAUAGAGCUUUGCAACAACUUUCCCACACCCCAGAGUCCCAUCUCUGCUUUAGACAAAGCAUUUGGUCCAGCUUCAAAAAGCCAAGCAAGAACUUUUGCUCCAGUUCCUUUUUUGCUUUAAAAUAAGUAUCGUGCAAGAAAUAAGGAAAUAAAAGUGGAAGGGGAAACAAAACUUUCAUUCUCACACAGACAUUUAAAAGCAGGCAUCUGCACAGUUUCCAUGACUUUCAUUUCACCAGGAGAAUGUUUCCCAGGAGCUAACUUCAACAUUUUGAAUGGAGCCACAUUUAGCCUUUUCCACAGCAAAUCACACAGGAGCCAUGAACUGCAAAUGCAGCCUUAUCUCCAUCCAGACAUUUGUUCCCAAAGAGAAUUUUCCAGUUUUCUGUGAUCAGACCAAGAAAAUAUGAGUGACAUUAUAACAACCCUCCCAGAGCAUGCUCUGUUGUAUUCUGAGUUUGCUGACAAGCUGUUACAUGGUCAGGGUCAGUUUUCUCUGUAGAAGUCUGGUCCUGUGAUCUAUCAGUGAGAUUUUGUCACUGGAUUCACUAGGAUUUCCCUUCCAGUGCAAUUGCAACUUGCUGACCCCAGAAUGAAAAAAAUAGUUGAAGUGGUUUUCUCUCUCCCCUUCCCUGUGCAUCUCUGCCCCCCUUCCCUUAUAAACACUUGUGGGCACAGGAGGGAUGACUGCUCCUUCAUUAAUGUCCCUUGUCCCAGGGCAGGCUCAGCAGGACACUCUUUCCCUCACUUUAUCCUUCUCUGCAGAUCACUGGGGCAGGGAAAAUUGGGUCCACACCCACCUGUUCUUUGGCCCAGAUAGCUGUUUGGAGCAUGCUUUGUUUAUUUUUACUACUGACAUAAUAAAAUGAGGUGAUAGACAAUCCCUUGGCCUUGUGUCUGACCAAGGCGGCUGCUACAGCUCACUCCCUGCCCCCUGAGUGUGCAGCUGACCUGGUGCCUUUGAUAAUCAAAUUUUCAUUAGUCUGCUAAGCAAAAUGCUGGCAUUGAGCCACAGGCAAGUUAUAAAGCUGGCCGAAUGAUUGGAAUAAUAAUUCGCUCAUAUUGAAUGUGGUCCAUUUAAAGGUGGUGCUUAUUUCCUGAAUGGAAAUUAAUAUCUUCUAAGGAUUUGGUUUAGAUUACUUCACUGCAUGGUUUACUUCAGCCUUAUAAUUUUGCCACUGAUACGUAAAGUGGGUUCAUAAAUAGAGUAGCAGAGGCUUGGCUGUGCUCAGAGAUAGUGCUGUGCACUAAUGUAAAUUAUAAAUGUAGAGCUAGAAAAUGUAACAAGCCCAGCUGGCAAACUUCCCUGUAUUAUCUCACAAUAAUUGUUUCCAGCCAGUAGUGAUUUUUUCUAUAGCAGAAGACAGGUUAUUUAUAUUAUUUAGGCUAAAUAUGCCUAAAACUGUAAUAACAUCCUCUGGCAAAAGUGUUAUCUGAUGGUGUCUGAAAUGGAAUCAGCUUUCCUCUUUUCAGGCAUUAAUAAUUGAAACAUUUGUGUCACCUCAUGGCAUUUCCUGAACUGGAGAAAAAAAUGGGAAUGACUUUUUAAUUUGUAUAGUUUACUUCUUAAAAAGUAGACAACCAGAAUUUCCUAGAAUUGUUACAUGUGGUUUGUAUCACCAACCAGAGAAAUAUUUCUUUUUACAAUUCUGAUCAGGCAGAGACAGCAGUACCACCAGCAGGACUGGCUCCUGGCUUAGCAGUCAGGAAAAUACCUGUGAACAGGCAAGGCAGGUGAAGGUCACGGAAGAGAGUAGGAUUUUUCCCAUUUCCUCAGAAAUGCCUGGAUGCCUGCUGCAUUGCCCAUCUGCACAUUCUCAGGUAAACCCUACAGAAGUGUGGAUGUGGGCUUUCAAUCCCCAGAUGGCAAUCCUGCUUUAGUACCCCUUGAAUUUCUGGCAUGCAAGGGAACAUGUUUUACAUAUUAGAACUUUCAAUGCCGUGAAUUUCUGUUUAAUACAUUAUUUAAGUGAUUCUUCACUUACAAGGCAUGUUGGUAUAAAAAUGGGAGAAAAUGGCCUUCCCCUCAAUGGGACCCACUCAAUCCACACUUGAGAAUGGAUGUAUACAAUGGCCAUUCUAAGAUGACAUGUUAAAGAAAUAAGGUUUAUUUAAAUGAAUGCUACAGCCAAAUAAUGACAACUUCAAAUCCAAAUACACAUGUGCUGUGAAAAAACUCCCACUAUAAUUAUGACAGCUCAAUAGAAAGUAAUUCCAUAUCCAGAUGUAAAAAAAAUUAACGCAGGAAUGUUUUUUUACUUAGUGGCUGCAGUGUGGUGUUUCAGUCCCAGUUUGUGACAAGCAGUAGAUAGUGAACAGUGUGAGAAAUAAAUUUGAGGAAAUUUGUGGUGAUUAGUUCAGUAAAAAGGACAGUUGAUGAGAAAAAUAUGUUUAUUCUGCUUUUUAAAUCACCCAUGUUCCUGCUUUUGUUUCUCAUAGUUUUGUUCUUAGUUGAUCUUCUGACAUACAAUUAUGGCUGGUUCACACUACUGUGAGUAAAAUCCAUUUUUAAAGCCUGAAGAACAGCAGCAUGAAUCCUCAUCUUCUUUGCUAGUGAUCAGAUAUCUCUAGGGAAACUUAGUUCUUUUCUUCAACUAAUUUAAAUGUAUGGGAAGUCAUUCAGCCAAAAUAAAUAUCGAAAGGCUUAACUCUUCUGAAUUGUAUACCACUGGAUUAGGAUUUCAAAAAUUUUGAGUUAUCCAUAAUAUGUGAUUAUUAAUCCCAUAAAUAUUUUUAAUUGAGUGAUAAUGAGCUAUCAGCUUUGCUCUUGUUUUGAAGCCUACCCUGACACCAGUUGAGUCACUGUCUUUGGAACAAGAUCAGAAAAUGAUGCCAGGAAAGGCAAAGAGCUGCUCUGUUACAGUUGUAUAUGAAUAAUGAAACAGGUUAUUCUAAAAAGUGAAAUGCAUUCACCUGUAACAAGAAUCACAAUAAAACCUCAUCUUUUUCUUUCAGAUUUAUAUGAGUUUGUUUUAAAAAGCUGAUUAAUUUUUUUUAACAAAAUCCUGGCUUAGCUGAAGUUUCUAGGAGUUCUGUGGUUUAAUAAUAACUGAGUCUGGGACUUCUGCCUUUCACAUUAGGCACCUUGAUUUAUUUUUUCUAUCUAUUAGGAAGAUUACCUUUAUGCUAAUCCCAUCAUAAAGCCUAUUCCAGAGAUAUUUUAAGUACCCAUAGAAUUAACUAAAGCACAAAUUUAGAACAUCUCAUUUUGGAUAGAGUAUGAUGGUACAUCUAAACAAAGCACUGAUUAAAGCCAUGCAAAAGAAUUUUUGCUUCAGUUCUGUGGAAGACCUAAAAAUACAUAUAUUUAAAAGUUCUUUGCAUAUUUACCCCAAAUACCCUGGCUUUUACUGGUUUUUGAUGGAAAACAAUCAUUUGGUGAUGAACUUCAUAAUUGAAAGUGAAAUGAGUUCUUCUGGUUUUGGACAAUUGGGUGCUUCAUCUCACUGCGCUCUGCCAGCCCGUGCUGCUGUUCCACACCAGCCACUCCUUCCCACCCUCCCGCCUCACUGCAGCUGUCCCAGUCCAUGCUGCAGCCCUCCUUCAAAAGGUGCCUUGCAACGGUUCUUAAAGGGAAGGAGAGAGGAUGGGAAGAAUAGCUGAAAAAAAAAUCCAUAUUAGAACAUGAGCGUGAUGUAUUUUCGUGAUGUAUUUUGCUCUUCUGGUCUUAGAUAGAUGCCACAGUGCCAUAUGUGAGCCUAGCAUAAAAAGAUCAAGAUGUCUUGAUGCUAAAGAGAUAAAAAUAAAUAAGUAUGACAUGU